Molecule: transfer RNA, 77 nt
Filed under: Sphaerodactylus townsendi
Lineage: Eukaryota; Metazoa; Chordata; Lepidosauria; Squamata; Sphaerodactylidae
Description: tRNA-Ala
Source: RNAcentral
CCAUGGCACAGUGGUAGAACAUUUGCUUUGCAUGCAGAAGGUCACAGGUUCGAUCCUUGGCAUACUCCACUGAAAGG